Unclassified non-coding RNA from Otolemur garnettii (small-eared galago), 102 nucleotides. It matches the Rfam family "Y RNA". From Rfam's summary of the family: Y RNAs are components of the Ro ribonucleoprotein particle (Ro RNP), in association with Ro60 and La proteins. The Y RNAs and Ro60 and La proteins are well conserved, but the function of the Ro RNP is not known. The record is from Ensembl. Lineage: Eukaryota; Metazoa; Chordata; Mammalia; Primates; Galagidae.
GGCUGGUCCAAAGGUAGUGAGUUACCUCACUUGGUUGUUCACUGUCACGUGAACUCCUGUUCUACUCUUUCCCCUCUUAUUACUGCACUUGACUAGUCCUUU